AAAUUGAAGAGUUUGAUCAUGGCUCAGAUUGAACGCUGGCGGCAGGCCUAACACAUGCAAGUCGAACGGUAGCACAGAGAGCUUGCUCUCGGGUGACGAGUGGCGGACGGGUGAGUAAUGUCUGGGAAACUGCCUGAUGGAGGGGGAUAACUACUGGAAACGGUGGCUAAUACCGCAUAACGUCGCAAGACCAAAGAGGGGGACCUUCGGGCCUCUUGCCAUCAGAUGUGCCCAGAUGGGAUUAGCUUGUUGGUGAGGUAACGGCUCACCAAGGCGACGAUCCCUAGCUGGUCUGAGAGGAUGACCAGCCACACUGGAACUGAGACACGGUCCAGACUCCUACGGGAGGCAGCAGUGGGGAAUAUUGCACAAUGGGCGCAAGCCUGAUGCAGCCAUGCCGCGUGUAUGAAGAAGGCCUUCGGGUUGUAAAGUAC
This 434-nucleotide ribosomal RNA is filed under the name Salmonella enterica. RNAcentral describes it as "bacterial SSU rRNA". It matches the Rfam family "Bacterial small subunit ribosomal RNA", at positions 1 to 433 of the family's 1533-position model. Lineage: Bacteria; Pseudomonadati; Pseudomonadota; Gammaproteobacteria; Enterobacterales; Enterobacteriaceae. The record is from RNAcentral.